GCUGCAUCCUUCUGACUCCUUACUUUCUAGCCUCCUGGUAGAAUAAGAAAGCUUAAGGGUAGCUUCUGUUUAUGCCACCGUUCCGAUCUCAAGCCUGCCUUCAUCUCCUCCUAAACUCUUACAUGAAUGCUUUCUCUUUCUCACGUAGGGGGAAACUGAUGCCUAACCCACUUUCAUGUGGCGCCGACUUCUUUGGGUUUUCUCAUCCAACCAUCCACAACCUGAUUCAGAGUUGUCCAGAAGCUCAGAACUGCGUCAAUUACCAGUGGGUGAAAUUCGAUGCGUGCAAACCCAGGAAGGGGCAGCUCUCUCAGGAGCUGCCAGAGAAUGAUGCAGCUAUGAGCCUUGAAGCCUUUCC
RNAcentral lists this long non-coding RNA (358 nucleotides) under Rattus norvegicus (Norway rat). RNAcentral describes it as "long non-coding RNA NONRATT028429". Lineage: Eukaryota; Metazoa; Chordata; Mammalia; Rodentia; Muridae. The record is from RNAcentral.